Molecule: ribosomal RNA, 301 nt
Filed under: uncultured bacterium
Lineage: Bacteria
Description: partial 16S ribosomal RNA
Rfam family: Bacterial small subunit ribosomal RNA
Source: RNAcentral
CAGCCGCCACGGUAACACGUAGGGUGCGAGCGUUAAUCGGAAUUACUGGGCGUAAAGCGUGCGCAGGCGGUUGUGUAAGACAGGUGUGAAAUCCCCGGGCUUAACCUGGGAACUGCGCUUGUGACUGCACAGCUAGAGUAUGGCAGAGGGGGGUGGAAUUCCACGUGUAGCAGUGAAAUGCGUAGAGAUGUGGAGGAACACCGAUGGCGAAGGCAGCCCCCUGGGCCAAUACUGACGCUCAUGCACGAAAGCGUGGGGAGCAAACAGGAUUAGAUACCCGCGUAGUCCCUGUCUCUUAUAC